UUCCUACGGGUGGCAGCAGUGGGGAAUUUUGGACAAUGGGGGCAACCCUGAUCCAGCCAUGCCGCGUGAGUGAAGAAGGCCUUCGGGUUGUAAAGCUCUUUCGGCCGGGAAGAAAUCGCGUUGGCUAAUACCCAGCGUGGAUGACGGUACCGGAAUAAGAAGCACCGGCUAACUACGUGCCAGCAGCCGCGGUAAUACGUAGGGUGCGAGCGUUAAUCGGAAUUACUGGGCGUAAAGCGUGCGCAGGCGGUUUUGUAAGAUAGGCGUGAAAUCCCCGGGCGCAACCUGGGAACUGCGCUUAUGACUGGAAGACUAGAGUAUGGCAGAGGGGGGUGGAAUUCCACGUGUAGCAGUGAAAUGCGUAGAGAUGUGGAGGAACACCGAUGGCGAAGGCAGCCCCCUGGGCCAAUACUGACGCUCAUGCACGAAAGCGUGGGGAGCAAACAGGAUUAGAUACCCGGGUAGUCAAG
RNAcentral lists this ribosomal RNA (470 nucleotides) under uncultured Dechloromonas sp. RNAcentral's name for it is "bacterial SSU rRNA". It matches the Rfam family "Bacterial small subunit ribosomal RNA", at positions 336 to 798 of the family's 1533-position model. Lineage: Bacteria; Pseudomonadati; Pseudomonadota; Betaproteobacteria; Rhodocyclales; Azonexaceae. The record is from RNAcentral.